UAAGGAAUAUUGCGCAAUGGGCGACAGCCUGACGCAGCGACGCCGCGUGGGGGAUGAAGGCCCUAGGGUCGUAAACCCCUUUCAGCAGGGACGAAGAUGACGGUACCUGCAGAAGAAGCCCCGGCCAACUACGUGCCAGCAGCCGCGGUAAGACGUAGGGGGCGAGCGUUGUCCGGAUUUAUUGGGCGUAAAGAGCUCGUAGGCGGUUGCGUAAGUCGGAUGUGAAAACUCAGGGCUCAACCCUGAGACGCCAUCCGAUACUGCGCUGACUUGAAUCCAGUAGGGGAGUGCGGAAUUCCUGGUGUAGCGGUGAAAUGCGCAGAUAUCAGGAGGAACACCCAUGGCGAAGGCAGCACUCUGGGCUGGUAUUGACGCUGAGGAGCGAAAGCAUGGGUAGCGAACAGGAUUAGAUACCCUGGUAGUCCCUGAGCGGGCUGGCAAGGCGCAU
This 448-nucleotide ribosomal RNA is filed under the name uncultured bacterium. RNAcentral's name for it is "bacterial SSU rRNA". It matches the Rfam family "Bacterial small subunit ribosomal RNA", at positions 355 to 825 of the family's 1533-position model. The record is from RNAcentral.